This 370-nucleotide long non-coding RNA is filed under the name Daucus carota (carrot). RNAcentral describes it as "long non-coding RNA (DCAR_LNC001962)". The record is from RNAcentral. Lineage: Eukaryota; Viridiplantae; Streptophyta; Magnoliopsida; Apiales; Apiaceae.
CUUCUCUCCCUACACUACCGACUAUUCCAACUCUUCCAACCAUGCCUACUACGAUCCCGAAGGUGGCACUUCCUCCUUUGCCUGCAUCAUUCCCUACCAUUCCAAACAUUAACAUUCCUACGACAUUCCCAUCUAUUCCUUUCUUCAGCCCACCACCAUCCACCAACAGCCCUUGAGAUGGGAACAACCACAAUAAGUACUUGUUUAUAUUUGGUUUUAUGUUAUAUUUGGCUUCAGAACUUGUGAAGCUUCUUGUGGUUUCAUGAUAUGUCUGUUGUCACAGUGUUGCCUCUGUAUCUUUGGUUGUAAUAUUCCUACUGGAUCACUAUUUGUUUGUAUUUUAUUAUGAAUAUGAUUUAUUAUCUUUCAU